GUCUAUGGUCAUACCACUCUGAAGGUGCCUGAUCUCAUUCUCAGAAGCUAAGCAGGUUUGGGCCUGGUUAGUACUUGGAUGGGAGAAAUAGCAGGAAAAAAGAGAAA
This 107-nucleotide ribosomal RNA is filed under the name Microcebus murinus (gray mouse lemur). Lineage: Eukaryota; Metazoa; Chordata; Mammalia; Primates; Cheirogaleidae. The record is from RNAcentral.